RNAcentral lists this transfer RNA (77 nucleotides) under Sulfurovum sp. Its description in RNAcentral is "tRNA-Met". It matches the Rfam family "tRNA". From Rfam's summary of the family: Transfer RNA (tRNA) molecules are approximately 80 nucleotides in length. Their secondary structure includes four short double-helical elements and three loops (D, anti-codon, and T loops). Further hydrogen bonds mediate the characteristic L-shaped molecular structure. tRNAs have two regions of fundamental functional importance: the anti-codon, which is responsible for specific mRNA codon recognition, and the 3' end, to which the tRNAs corresponding amino acid is attached (by aminoacyl-tRNA synthetases). tRNAs cope with the degeneracy of the genetic code in two manners: having more than one tRNA (with a specific anti-codon) for a particular amino acid; and 'wobble' base-pairing, i.e. permitting non-standard base-pairing at the 3rd anti-codon position. Lineage: Bacteria; Pseudomonadati; Campylobacterota; Epsilonproteobacteria; Campylobacterales; Sulfurovaceae. The record is from RNAcentral. RNAcentral also lists the same sequence under 1 other name.
GGGUCCUUAGCUCAGCUGGUUAGAGCACUCGGCUCAUAACCGAGUGGUCCGGGGUUCGAGUCCCCGAGGACCCACCA